RNAcentral lists this ribosomal RNA (500 nucleotides) under uncultured bacterium. Its description in RNAcentral is "partial 16S ribosomal RNA". It matches the Rfam family "Bacterial small subunit ribosomal RNA", at positions 28 to 523 of the family's 1533-position model. The record is from RNAcentral.
GACGAACGCUGGCGGCGUGCUUAACACAUGCAAGUCGAACGGCAGCACGGACUUCGGUCUGGUGGCGAGUGGCGAACGGGUGAGUAAUACAUCGGAACGUGCCCAGUCGUGGGGGAUAACGUAGCGAAAGCUACGCUAACGCCGCAUACGAUCUAAGGAUGAAAGCGGGGGAUCGCAAGACCUCGCGCGAUUGGAGCGGCCGAUGGCAGAUUAGGUAGUUGGUGGGGUAAAGGCUCACCAAGCCGACGAUCUGUAGCGGGUCUGAGAGGAUGAUCAGCCACACUGGGACUGAGACACGGCCCAGACUCCUACGGGAGGCAGCAGUGGGGAAGUUUGGACAAUGGGCGCAAGCCUGAUCCAGCCAUUCCGCGUGCAGGAUGAAGGCCUUCGGGUUGUAAACUGCUUUUGUACAGAACGAAAAGCUCUGGGUUAAUACCCUGGGGUCAUGACGGUACUGUAAGAAUAAGCACCGGCUAACUACGUGCCAGCAGCCGCAGUAA